This 2786-nucleotide unclassified non-coding RNA is filed under the name Hevea brasiliensis (rubber tree). Lineage: Eukaryota; Viridiplantae; Streptophyta; Magnoliopsida; Malpighiales; Euphorbiaceae. The record is from RNAcentral.
GAUAUGUUCCACAAAUUAUGGUUACAGUGAAUGUUAAUCUUUAGUAUUGAACAUAAGCUUUUGAAGGGAUCAAUUAUCAAACGCAAGAAUUUUUUAUUGCAUAUAAUUCAAUAUUUCUGCUCCUCAUACAUCUGCAUAUGAUUCAAUAUUCCUUACUGCUAUUGGAAUUCUAACAAAAUUCUUGCCGUUGGUCCACGUCAAGCUCCCAAAUUUGUAAUGCCCAUGUAGUGUUUGAGUUGAGAAGAAGGUAACUUUGAAGGAAAGAGUGUUGUUGGUGGAGUCGAAACUUAAAAUCUUUGGCUCUACUCUCAUUCUUAUGCCGAAUGGAGACUGCGCUAUUGCUCUGUACACCGAAUUUACCAGUCCGACAUUUGUUACCUUUCUCGUCACUGUUACUUUUCUUUCUAGAUUUGGGAUAGUGAUAGAAGGGAGGUUCAGAUUCAGUUUCAUGUGGUUGUUUUGCUUGCAGUUUACGUUGGCCUUGGUUAAGCUACUUAUUGAUGAAAUGCUGUAGCCCAUGGAGCAGAGGAACUGGAUGUACUCUUCCAUGCUAAUGUCAUAAACAAGCCCUGGAUGCAUUGCUUUCUCUGGAUUGACAUGUCCCCCACCUAUGUCAAAUGGGUCUGCUAGCUUCCGAGUGCGGCCCUCCUCAAAUAUGUUCAUUCCAUCUGUUCCAAUUUGGGAAGCCGUGGUGACAAUAGCUGAUCUUAUGGCUGCAGGAGACCAAUUCGGAUGCAUAGACCUUAUGAGAGCUACAAUUCCUGCUACAUGGGGACAAGCCAUUGAAGUUCCUGAUAGCAGUGCAUAUGCUUUGCCAUUUUCAUGGUUGGCUGGUCGAUAUGCAGCUAAGAUGUCCACCCCCGGUGCAGCUAUGUCAGGCUACCACCAUCAAUAUAAAAAAUGAAGUAGGCAUCAAUAUCACGCGCAUUCUUUAGCACUGCCGGGGAAAUUGAACUUGGUCCUCUGGAUGAGAAUGAUGCAACUUGUGGAGAUGCCUGUUUGCCUAUAACAGUCUUGGGAAAACUCAGCUUUGCAAUUGGAGACCUUCACAUACAGGUGGAGAAGUUAGUUUUAUUUUUGUAUUUGCGCGUGUUGGGGUCGGUAUACAUUUCCUUACCUUGCUUUUCUUAUAUAAGAAAGUAUCUGUGUCCCUAUUUCAUAAUCUACUUUGAUACAUGGAAUUAAUUUGCAGGGGUCAAGCCCAUCAUUAUGAAAUUGUGCGAAUAUGAGCGCAAUCCCUCCUGCUUCGAACACAGAUUUAGAUGCAGAAAUUAUAUCCUGUGCAUCUGAUUUUGAGAAGCAUAGUAUGAUUUUCCCUGCUGCUAAAGUUGUAUUCAGACUUCCAAGUUGACAGUCCUCUCCUGAAUUAUCAGUCGGGUCCACAGCUAUGCGUUCGGAGUAUGUGAGGCCGGCAAAUCCAUGAUUAUGUUUACCUACAUCCAUAGAUUUUCCCCAGAGGGUGCUGUUAUUUCCUAGAGUAAUGGCUGUUGGAAAAGCCCUGUCAAUUGUAGUGGCGGCAACAGUGAUGAGCCAAGGUGCAGUGUUCACAAUUGUUUGUGACGUUGGGCCAUCGUUUCCUGCUGAACAGAUCACAGGGAUCCCCUUUGCAGUUGCAUGGAAGGAACCUAUUGCAAUUGAAUCACGCUUAUCAACAUAAGAGAAUAAAGGAAUUUCAUUGCCAAUUGAGACUGACAAUAUAUCCACUCCGUCUUGUAUAGCUUUGUCAAAUGCUUUUAGAAGAUCAGCAUCAGUGCAUCCUCCACCUUCAAUGCUCCAACAAACCUUGUAUAUUGCUAAGUGAGCAAGAGGUGCUCCUCCUCUGGCCAUACCUGCAGCUAGUCCUCUAUAGCUUGCUUUUUCUACAAAGUGACCCGCUGCUAUUGAAGCUGUGUGAGUACCGUGGCCACCUCCAUCCCGUGGUGAUAGAAACUCCAUAGUAUUACUUGUGUUAAGAGGCUUUCGAAUCUCAUCCUUGAAUCCUUUUAUAAACCAGCGAGCCCCAAUGAGUUUUUUGUUGCAGUUGGAAGAAUUGAAGUGUUCUCCACCUUGACAUAUUCCUUUCCAGUGAGGUGGGACAGGGCCCAUGCCUUGAUCAUUAAAACUUUUGGACUCUGGCCAAAUUCCUGAAUCUAUUACACCAAUGAUAGUUCCUUCACCCAUAUGACUCUGUAUUAACAGAUUUUUUGAGGAACGCUGAUUGAGCCCAAUGAAUUCCCAGCUUCUGGUUGUGUGGAGCUUGCGAAUGCGGUUUGGAAUUACUUGGAUGACACCAGGAAAGUCUGCAAUUUUCACUGCCUGAGACUCUGUCAGCCUUGCUGCAAAGCCUGAAAAGCCAUGCCUAUAGCUGUAAAGAAUGGAACGCUGUGCAGCUUGUUUGCUCCCUAACAAGGUUGACAGCAUAUUAUGGUGAAACUUUCUGGUAGUUGCUGGAUCUUCAUGCUUCUUCUCUCCCAUAUACACAAUAUGCACCUUCUUUGUGGCCUCAACACAUGUUGCAGAAAUAUGAAGAUGAUAUUGGAGUAAAAAUACAGCUAAGGUCGCAAGCAAAUGGCUUUUUCUUACCCCUCUCCAGUUUGUCGACUUGAUAUCCAUCAUACAACUAUUCAAAUCGAUUUGGGCAUUUGGAGCGUGGGUUUUAGAGCUUCUAUGGUAAGUUUAUCAGGUUUAUAAGCUAGUUCUUUUUAUUAUACUAAAGCUUGAUGGGUAAGAGGAAAGUGGUUUAUUUUUCUUUUGACACGCUUCUUUGCUCUUUAUGCUCAAUCAAUACUAAAGUGGAUAAAUGUGAU